RNAcentral lists this ribosomal RNA (528 nucleotides) under uncultured bacterium. Its description in RNAcentral is "bacterial SSU rRNA". It matches the Rfam family "Bacterial small subunit ribosomal RNA", at positions 777 to 1304 of the family's 1533-position model. The record is from RNAcentral.
AAUAGAUACCCCGGUAGUCCACGCUGUAAACGAUGAACACUAGGUGUAGGUGAUGUGAAAGUUAUCUGUACCGAAGCCAACGCGUUAAGUGUUCCGCCUGGGGAGUACGGCCGCAAGGCUAAAACUCAAAGGAAUUGACGGGGGCCCGCACAAGCGGCGGAGCAUGCGGAUUAAUUCGAUGCAACGCGAAGAACCUUACCAAGGCUUGACAUGCACGAGAAGCCACCAGAGAUGGUGGUCUCUUUGGACACUCGUGCACAGGUGGUGCAUGGUUGUCGUCAGCUCGUGUCGUGAGAUGUUGGGUUAAGUCCCGCAACGAGCGCAACCCUCGUCCCAUGUUGCCAGCGGGUUAUGCCGGGGACUCAUGGGGGACUGCCGGGGUCAACUCGGAGGAAGGUGGGGAUGACGUCAAAUCAUCAUGCCCCUUAUGUCUUGGGCUUCACGCAUGCUACAAUGGCCGGUACAAAGGGCUGCGAUACCGUAAGGUGGAGCGAAUCCCAAAAAGCCGGUCUCAGUUCGGAUUGGGGU